CAAUAGCGUAUACUAAUGUUGUUGCAGUUAAAAAGCUCGUAGUUGAACUUCUGGUAGGAGUGUCCCGGCCUUUUUGUUUUUACAAAUUGUAUGCUGUGUGACCUCUCUGGCCAUCCUUCUUCUUUGUUUAAAGAAGAUCUUUCACUGUAAAAAAAUUAGGGUGUUCAAAGCAAAAGUUUCUUUGGAAUAUAUUAGUAUGGGAUGAUAAGAUAGGCUCUAGAUGCUAUUUUGUUGGUUUGCACAUUUAGAGAAUGAUUAACAGGGACAGUUGGGGGUAUUCGUAUUUACAUGUCAGAGGUGAAAUUCUUGGAUUUUGGAAAGACGAACUACUGCGAAAGCAUUUACCAAGGAUGUUUUCAUUAA
Molecule: ribosomal RNA, 363 nt
Filed under: uncultured eukaryote
Lineage: Eukaryota
Description: partial 18S ribosomal RNA
Rfam family: Eukaryotic small subunit ribosomal RNA
Source: RNAcentral